RNAcentral lists this ribosomal RNA (393 nucleotides) under uncultured bacterium. RNAcentral's name for it is "partial 16S ribosomal RNA". It matches the Rfam family "Bacterial small subunit ribosomal RNA", at positions 523 to 918 of the family's 1533-position model. The record is from RNAcentral.
AUACGGAAGGUCCGGGCGUUAUCCGGAUUUAUUGGGUUUAAAGGGAGCGCAGGCGGAGAUGCAAGCGUGACGUCAAAUUUCGGGGCUCAACCCCGUCUCGCGUCGCGAACUGCGUCCCUUGGUUGCGGGAAGGGGAGGCGGAACUCGUGGUGUAGCGGUGAAAUGCAUAGAUAUCACGAAGAACUCCGAUCGCGAAGGCAGCCUUCCGGCCCGUCAACGACGCUCAUGCUCGAAGGUGCGGGUAUCAAACAGGGUUAGAUACCCUGGUAGUCCGCACAGUAAACGAUGGACACCCGCGGUUUGGCCUGUAUGGCUGAGCCGCCAAGCGAAAGCGUUAAGUGUCCCACCUGGGGAGUACGCCGGCAACGGUGAAACUCAAAGGAAUUGACGGGG